RNAcentral lists this ribosomal RNA (460 nucleotides) under uncultured bacterium. Its description in RNAcentral is "partial 16S ribosomal RNA". It matches the Rfam family "Bacterial small subunit ribosomal RNA", at positions 338 to 795 of the family's 1533-position model. The record is from RNAcentral.
CCUACGGGGGGCAGCAGUGAGGAAUAUUGGUCAAUGGGCGCGAGCCUGAACCAGCCAAGUAGCGUGAAGGAUGACUGCCCUAUGGGUUGUAAACUUCUUUUAUAGGGGAAUAAAGUGCAGCAUGUAUACUGCUUUGCAUGUACCUUAUGAAUAAGGAUCGGCUAACUCCGUGCCAGCAGCCGCGGUAAUACGGAGGAUCCGAGCGUUAUCCGGAUUUAUUGGGUUUAAAGGGAGCGUAGGCGGGUUGUUAAGUCAGUUGUGAAAGUUUGCGGCUCAACCGUAAAAUUGCAGUUGAUACUGGCAGCCUUGAGUACAGUAGAGGUAGGCGGAAUUCGUGGUGUAGCGGUGAAAUGCUUAGAUAUCACGAAGAACUCCGAUUGCGAAGGCAGCCUGCUGAACUGUAACUGACGCUGAUGCUCGAAAGUGUGGGUAUCAAACAGGAUUAGAUACCCGUGUAGUC